This 697-nucleotide long non-coding RNA is filed under the name Brachypodium distachyon (stiff brome). Its description in RNAcentral is "long non-coding RNA (BDIS_LNC002986)". Lineage: Eukaryota; Viridiplantae; Streptophyta; Magnoliopsida; Poales; Poaceae. The record is from RNAcentral.
UGGCGUGAGUUGCAGCACCAUUGUGUGUGCUCUUAUAAAGUCGUCAAUUCUUUGGCAGGCAUGCACAUCAAGAUCCUUCCAGCCAAGCCCACCUUCACCUUCUAGCUUCCCCUUAUGUCGUGAUUCGGGGACCCCUAUGGCCUUGCGGUCCGCCAACCAAUCAGUGCAGAACUCAACGCACUCUUCUGCAUGACAGCCUUCCAUGAUCCUUCCUUCGGGACGCCCUCUGUUACGAACAUAUCGCUUUAGCACCCCAUUGUAUCGUUCGGGCCCAAACAUGCUUCUUCACCAGCCUGGUCGUCAGACUCCAUGUUUUCCAUCUCAAUGCCGUCAUCCACUUCAAUGCCAUCCUCCCCGUGAGAAGUCCACCAUGAAUAACCAGGCACAAAUCUCCGCAUGAGCAAGUGCACCUCGACAUCCUCUGGCUCUUACAACUUGCUGUUCCGAAAUCUCACACAGGGACAACACAUCUUAUCACCCCCUUACCUAUGCAUAUCUUCCACGCCGGCAUCGACAAAAGUCUUCAGCCACUCUAUCCACUCAACACAUAACCUAUCCUCGUACAUCCAAGCACGGCCCAUCGAGCUACAACACAAUUAAAAAAAAAUAAACGAAUCAGCUUGAUCGACAAAAAUGGAAAUUUUCGGCAUGACCUAUGCUAAAAAAUAGCAUUUUGCACUACGAAAUUCGAUGCCUG